AUUGAACGCUGGCGGCAUGCUUUACACAUGCAAGUCGAACGGUAACAGGUUAAGCUGACGAGUGGCGAACGGGUGAGUAAUGCAUCGGAACGUGCCUGGUCGUGGGGGAUAACGCAGCGAAAGCUGCGCUAAUACCGCAUACGAUCUGAGGAUGAAGGCGGGGGACCGGAAGGCCUCGCGCGAUCGGAGCGGCCGAUGUCAGAUUAGGUAGUUGGUGGGGUAAAGGCUCACCAAGCCAACGAUCUGUAGCUGGUCUGAGAGGACGACCAGCCACACUGGGACUGAGACACGGCCCAGACUCCUACGGGAGGCAGCAGUGGGGAAUUUUGGACAAUGGGCGAAAGCCUGAUCCAGCAAUGCCGCGUGCAGGAAGAAGGCCUUCGGGUUGUAAACUGCUUUUGUACGGAGCGAAAAUGUCUCCUCUAAUACAGGGGGCUCAUGACGGUACCGUAAGAAUAAGCACCGGCUAACUACGUGCCAGCCGCCGCAGUAA
RNAcentral lists this ribosomal RNA (493 nucleotides) under uncultured bacterium. Its description in RNAcentral is "partial 16S ribosomal RNA". It matches the Rfam family "Bacterial small subunit ribosomal RNA", at positions 30 to 523 of the family's 1533-position model. The record is from RNAcentral.